Onchocerca volvulus is the source of this 193-nucleotide small nuclear RNA. It matches the Rfam family "U2 spliceosomal RNA". From Rfam's summary of the family: U2 is a small nuclear RNA (snRNA) component of the spliceosome (involved in pre-mRNA splicing). Complementary binding between U2 snRNA (in an area lying towards the 5' end but 3' to hairpin I) and the branchpoint sequence (BPS) of the intron results the bulging out of an unpaired adenosine, on the BPS, which initiates a nucleophilic attack at the intronic 5' splice site, thus starting the first of two transesterification reactions that mediate splicing. The record is from Rfam. Lineage: Eukaryota; Metazoa; Nematoda; Chromadorea; Rhabditida; Onchocercidae.
AUCGCUUCUCGGCCUAUUGGCUAAGAUCAAAGUGUAGUAUCUGUUCUUAUCAGCUUAAUCUCUGAUAUGUGAUCUAUCGAUCACUUCGAGAUUAUCCUAUUUUUGAGACCUUGGUGGGUUUGCAGGGGCUUGCUCCUCACCUACCGCGGGUCGACCCGGUAUUGCACCUACUUCCGGGAACGGCCCAUCAUCC